CAAGACUCCACCAGCCCAUGUAUGGCUGCCCGGCUGCCCCCAGCCUUGCCCUCAGUUCUUCCCCAAGGGCAUGUCCUGUUGAGAGCCGGUUUCACCUGUGCAGUGUGGCCUGAUGGCCCAGCAUCCAGGAGCUCUGCGCACCCUGCCGCCAUGGGCCAUCCGUCCCCAGACCUCUUCCCACAGGGUCACUGUGGUCCACCGUCCUGCCCUCGGGGAAUCUCGGCCUCCCUCUCACAGGCCCCGCCCACGGACUCAUUCACUGAUGCCAUCGCUGGACCCAAGUCAGUCAGAUGAACAGUAGGAUGGUGUCAGAGCCUCGACCUCGGGAAGCACAGGAUGAGAACAAUGCAGCUGCCUCCCCGGGCCGUCAACCCCAGCACGGAAAACUCACACUGGUCCUCACUCCAGCCUGAAUGCUCCUGCUGAGGCCAGCUCUGCUCUGUCCCAUUCUGUCAUCAUUAAAGAGAGAAGGGAUGGCCACAUCUACCUGGAAUAACCACUUCCUCCUCUGAACACAGCUCUCAUCUGGAGCCCCGACGUGUCAUAUUCCUCCACCUUCCUGGAGGGAGGAAGUGCCCCAGUAGGCUGACAGCUGAGCUUUAAUUCUGCUCCACAGCCAAUCCAGGUUUUCUCAAUACUAUCUCUGUGGAAAAGUGCAUAAAACAGCAAGAAUAAUUGGCAUAAAUGAGACAAAUGUAACCCAGAAGCUUAGUCCCAAAAUGCACACUGAAAGUAAAUUCAUAAAAAUAUAAAUGAAAGCAAGUUUUCUUUAUAUUUAAAUAUAACAAAGCUACCUAUUGAUAAAGGGGGCCUUCUCCACACCCAGGUCCAGGACUAUGUUCCUUGCCUUAUUUUUUCUUAUAACGCUUACCACCUUUAAAUGAAGCAAAAACAAAUGAAUCAAUAAAUCAUAUAAUUAACUUUUAUUGUAUUUACUGCCUUCAAUCGCUAGAAUGUAAGUUCUCCUGAAUACAAGGAAUGUUCACAGUAUU
RNAcentral lists this long non-coding RNA (992 nucleotides) under Pan troglodytes (chimpanzee). RNAcentral describes it as "long non-coding RNA NONPTRT007443". Lineage: Eukaryota; Metazoa; Chordata; Mammalia; Primates; Hominidae. The record is from RNAcentral.